GCGGCGGACGGGUGAGUAACACGUGGGUAACCUGCCCAUAAGACUGGGAUAACUCCGGGAAACCGGGGCUAAUACCGGAUAACAUUUUGAACUGCAUGGUUCGAAAUUGAAAGGCGGCUUCGGCUGUCACUUAUGGAUGGACCCGCGUCGCAUUAGCUAGUUGGUGAGGUAACGGCUCACCAAGGCAACGAUGCGUAGCCGACCUGAGAGGGUGAUCGGCCACACUGGGACUGAGACACGGCCCAGACUCCUACGGGAGGCAGCAGUAGGGAAUCUUCCGCAAUGGACGAAAGUCUGACGGAGCAACGCCGCGUGAGUGAUGAAGGCUUUCGGGUCGUAAAACUCUGUUGUUAGGGAAGAACAAGUGCUAGUUGAAUAAGCUGGCACCUUGACGGUACCUAACCAGAAAGCCACGGCUAACUACGUGCCAGCAGCCGCGGUAAUACGUAGGUGGCAAGCGUUAUCCGGAAUUAUUGGGCGUAAAGCGCGCGCAGGUGGUUUCUUAAGUCUGAUGUGAAAGCCCACGGCUCAACCGUGGAGGGUCAUUGGAAACUGGAGACUUGAGUGCAGAAGAGGAAAGUGA
This 583-nucleotide ribosomal RNA is filed under the name Bacillus thuringiensis. RNAcentral's name for it is "bacterial SSU rRNA". It matches the Rfam family "Bacterial small subunit ribosomal RNA", at positions 95 to 664 of the family's 1533-position model. Lineage: Bacteria; Bacillati; Bacillota; Bacilli; Caryophanales; Bacillaceae. The record is from RNAcentral.